AUUGAACGCUGGCGGCAUGCUUUACACAUGCAAGUCGAACGGUAACAGGUUAAGCUGACGAGUGGCGAACGGGUGAGUAAUGCAUCGGAACGUGCCCGAUCGUGGGGGAUAACGCAGCGAAAGCUGCGCUAAUACCGCAUACGAUCUGAGGAUGAAAGCGGGGGACCGUAAGGCCUCGCGCGAUCGGAGCGGCCGAUGUCAGAUUAGGUAGUUGGUGGGGUAAAGGCCCACCCAGCCGACGAUCUGUAGCUGGUCUGAGAGGACGACCAGACACACUGGGACGGAGACACGGCCCAGACUCCUGCGGGAGGCAGCAGUGGGGAAUGUUGGACAAUGGGCGAGAGCCUGAUCCAGCAAUGCCGCGUGCAGGAAGAAGGCCUUCGGGUUGUAAACUGCUUUUGUACGGAGCGAAAAGGUCCUUUCUAAUACAAGGGGCUCAUGACGGUACCGUAAGAAUAAGCACCGGCUAACUACGUGCCAGCCGCCGCAGUAA
This 493-nucleotide ribosomal RNA is filed under the name uncultured bacterium. RNAcentral describes it as "partial 16S ribosomal RNA". It matches the Rfam family "Bacterial small subunit ribosomal RNA", at positions 29 to 523 of the family's 1533-position model. The record is from RNAcentral.